RNAcentral lists this ribosomal RNA (399 nucleotides) under uncultured bacterium. Its description in RNAcentral is "bacterial SSU rRNA". It matches the Rfam family "Bacterial small subunit ribosomal RNA", at positions 356 to 772 of the family's 1533-position model. The record is from RNAcentral.
CGGGAAUUUUGCGCAAUGGGUGAAAGCCUGACGCAGCAACGCCGCGUGAGGGAUGAAGGCCUUCGGGUUGUAAACCUCUUUUCUCAGGGACGAUAAUGACGGUACCUGUGGAAUAAGCCACGGCUAACUACGUGCCAGCAGCCGCGGUAAUACGUAGGUGGCAAGCGUUGUCCGGAUUUACUGGGCGUAAAGAGCGCGCAGGCGGUCGGUCAAGUCGCGUGUGAAAGCCCCCGGCUCAACUGGGGAGGGUCACGCGAUACUGUUCGACUCGAAGGCAGGAGAGGGUAGUGGAAUUCCCGGUGUAGUGGUGAAAUGCGUAGAUAUCGGGAGGAACACCAGUGGCGAAGGCGACUACCUGGCCUGUUCUUGACGCUGAGGCGCGAAAGCUAGGGGAGCAAA